GGCCAGGCCCCGGGCAACGGGAAGCUGUGAACUCCGUCAGGUCCGGAAGGAAGCAGCGGUAGCAGCCAAUUCCGUGUGUUCCGGGCACACCUGACCGCC
Molecule: signal recognition particle RNA, 99 nt
Filed under: Deltaproteobacteria bacterium
Lineage: Bacteria; Pseudomonadati; Myxococcota; Myxococcia
Also listed under: 1 other name
Description: signal recognition particle sRNA small type
Rfam family: Bacterial small signal recognition particle RNA
About the family: The signal recognition particle (SRP) is a universally conserved ribonucleoprotein involved in the co-translational targeting of proteins to membranes. Archaeal SRP consists of a 7S RNA and homologues of the eukaryotic SRP19 and SRP54 proteins. In most bacteria, the SRP consists of a 4.5S RNA and the Ffh protein (a homologue of the eukaryotic SRP54 protein).
Source: RNAcentral